This 398-nucleotide ribosomal RNA is filed under the name uncultured bacterium. Its description in RNAcentral is "partial 16S ribosomal RNA". It matches the Rfam family "Bacterial small subunit ribosomal RNA", at positions 523 to 918 of the family's 1533-position model. The record is from RNAcentral.
AUACGUAGGGUGCGAGCGUUGUCCGGAAUUACUGGGCGUAAAGAGCUCGUAGGUGGUUUGUCGCGUCGUCUGUGAAAUUCCGGGGCUUAACUCCGGGCGUGCAGGCGAUACGGGCAUAACUUGAGUACUGUAGGGGAGACUGGAAUUCCUGGUGUAGCGGUGAAAUGCGCAGAUAUCAGGAGGAACACCGGUGGCGAAGGCGGGUCUCUGGGCAGUAACUGACGCUGAGGAGCGAAAGCAUGGGUAGCGAACAGGAUUAGAUACCCUGGUAGUCCAUGCCGUAAACGGUGGGCGCUAGGUGUAGGGGUCUUCCACGACUUCUGUGCCGUAGCUAACGCAUUAAGCGCCCCGCCCGGGGAGUACGGCCGCAAGGCUAAAACUCAAAGGAAUUGACGGGG